AUGUGGUUCCCUGCUCAGCUCCUGGAGCUGCUCCUGCUCUGGGUCCCAGGAUCCAGUGGGGAUGUUGUGCUGACCCAGACUCCACUCUCCCUGUCUGUCAUCCCUGGAGAGACGGCCUCCAUCUCCUGCAAGUCUAGUCAGAGCCUGGUACAUAGUGAUGGAAAAACUUAUUUGAAUUGGAUUCAACAUAAACCAGGCCAAUCACCACAGGGUCUGAUCUAUCAGGUUUCCAACCGUAUCACUGGGGUCCCAGACAGGUUCACUGGAAGUGGGUCAGGGACAGAUUUCACACUGACAAUCAGCAGAGUGCAGGCUGAGGAUGCUGGAGUCUAUUACUGUUAUCAAGGUACAGAAGAUCCUGCCACACUUGCAAACCAUACUGGCUACAUCAAAGUGGCCUGGCAGCGUGUAGAGAAGGACAUGAAGAAGGCCAAAGAACAGCUGAAGAUCUGCAAGAGCAAACAGAUACCUACAGAGGUCAAGAGCAAAGCAGAGGAGGUGGUGUCGUUUGUGAAGAAGAACGUUCUAGUGACUGGUGGCUUUUUCGGAGGCUUUCUGCUGGGCAUGGCAUCCUAG
This is a non-coding RNA of Cervus elaphus (red deer), 576 nucleotides long. Lineage: Eukaryota; Metazoa; Chordata; Mammalia; Artiodactyla; Cervidae. The record is from the annotation of a RefSeq genome assembly.